This 740-nucleotide long non-coding RNA is filed under the name Homo sapiens (human). Its description in RNAcentral is "non-protein coding lnc-ABHD2-1:1". Lineage: Eukaryota; Metazoa; Chordata; Mammalia; Primates; Hominidae. The record is from RNAcentral.
UGAAAAGUGCCUACCCCUGGCCUGGGAUGCUUCCUCCUGGGAUGCUCCCACUUGGAACCCAACUAUUGUGCUGCAGAAGUUUAACUUAACUGUGUAAGGAGGCCAAGAGGAGGCCCUGGCUGCCAGCCAGCAUCAACUUCCAGUGACGUGAGUGUGCCAUUCUGGAACUGGAUCCUGCAGCCUCGGUGGAGCAGCCUCAGCUGAUGCCAUGUGGAACAGAGAUGAACUGCCGCUGCCGAGCUCUGCCCACGUUGCAGAAUCAUGAGCAAAUAUGUUGUGGAUUGGCUGUAACUCUGCUCUGGGAUCCAGGCUGAAGGAGCAGGCUCUAUCUGGAACAUUACUAGUCUCCAGGCAGAAGAAAAAGAGACAAUGGAAUGGAUGAUUGAAUGGAUGAAUGAACUCCACAGGAAGAUGAGGAAAGCCUUUAUGGAUGGAGUGAGCUUGCAGCAGAGUCUCAAAGGAAGAAGAAAUAAAACAAACUUCUACAUGGCAAAAUAAACCUCUACAUGGCAAAAUAAACCUCUACAUGGCAAAAUAAACCUCUACAUGGAUAGAGAUCUGUCUCAGACACAUUUUGGUUUCCAUGACUUCUGAAUGGCAGCAUGAGGAGCUCCAUGAACCCUCUCCCCAGUGAAAUGACCAUAAUCUCUGGAAAUUGCUUAAGAUCAAAGCCACAACUAUUUAAAGCCUUUGGAAAUUGUUUUAUGGGGAUGCGGCAAAUUAAUAAACUUUUAUUCAAG